GACGAACGCUGGCGGCGUGCUUAACACAUGCAAGUCGAACGGAAAGGCCUCUUUCGGGGGGUACUCGAGUGGCGAACGGGUGAGUAACACGUGAGUAACCUGCCCUUGACUUUGGGAUAACUUCAGGAAACUGGGGCUAAUACCGGAUAGGAGCUCCUGCUGCAUGGUGGGGGUUGGAAAGUUUCGGCGGUUGGGGAUGGACUCGCGGCUUAUCAGCUUGUUGGUGGGGUAGUGGCUUACCAAGGCUUUGACGGGUAGCCGGCCUGAGAGGGUGACCGGCCACAUUGGGACUGAGAUACGGCCCAGACUCCUACGGGAGGCAGCAGUGGGGAAUAUUGCACAAUGGGUGGAAGCCUGAUGUAGCAACGCCGUGGGCGGGAUGACGGCCUUCGGGUUGUAAACCGCUUUCGCUCAUGACGAAGCUUUGUGUGACGGUAGUGGGUAAAGAAGCACCGGCUAACUACGUG
Molecule: ribosomal RNA, 467 nt
Filed under: uncultured bacterium
Lineage: Bacteria
Description: partial 16S ribosomal RNA
Rfam family: Bacterial small subunit ribosomal RNA
Source: RNAcentral